Capra hircus (goat) is the source of this 1975-nucleotide long non-coding RNA. RefSeq lists it as uncharacterized. The transcript has 4 exons. NCBI's taxonomy places the organism in Eukaryota, Metazoa, Chordata, Mammalia, Artiodactyla, Bovidae. The record is from RefSeq and is a predicted model, not a curated record.
UGGCUGGAUGCUGGCAUCUCCCAGGAUCAGCCGCAUGAGGUAAGGAAACAGAGAAGAAUCAGAGGCAGAAGGACAGACAUCUGUCGUGCUUUCGUCUCAGCAACUCACACUACACUUCUGAGGCUAAACUCGGGCUUUCUGGCAUGUGACCUAACCUGAAACCAUGCUCCUUGGUGCUAUGCAGGACCCAUCGUCCAAGAAAACGUACCUCCUGCCCAUGAGAAGCUUGUGAUCAAGAGAGAGAAUAGACGACAUGAAUGGUGUCCUGAGCAGUUUUACCAUCGGCAGGCUUUUGUCUUCCACCUCAUUUGCCCCUUGCACCUUGCGGAGACAGCUGCUAUCAUGCUUUGCAUCUCAUCAGGCUUUUAAGAAGGAGAGAGUGAACCAGGGUGAGGCCCAAGCUGCUGAGACAGAAUUAAAAAGGAGCUGCUGCAAGCAGAGAGGGCGCAGGGCUUCACAAAGAGGCAUUUUCAGACGGGGCCCCUGGUGUGGAGCUCUGACUCCAGGUUGGCUGUAAAUUAAUAUCAAACACUAAAACGGCCUCACUCCCCUCUCCUACGAUUGUGGUGAUGGGCCCUCACGACUGGGCUACCAGCUUUCAUAUAAUGCUAAUAAAGAGAGACACAUAGGAUCUUCCUAAUCUAGUGUGCUUAAUCCAAGACAUCAUUUAAUUUUAUGAUGGCUGGUUUGUCCCAAUUAAGCCAGAUGUGUGCACUGAAGUCUUUCUCCUCGUGGAUCCAGUGGAAAUGGCACUGAGUGCUGAACCCGCUCCAGAGCAUCUUGCCAGGUGCUAAUCAUGAGAUCUGUAACAAGCGUCUCCUUUCUCUGCAGCCCUGUUCCCCUUUUAUAAAAUGGCUGAUUAGGGUCAGGACGGAGGAUGCCAACUGCAAGCAGCCCACAGAAACAGUUUGCUACACACACUGAAGAAACGUUAAAUUCACUACCAACACUAAAAAAUUGGCAGAGUCCACAUGCAAAACUUCAUUUUUGGCUUCUCUCAGAGAACUGGGGGACUGGGCCACGAGAUCCACAUUCCAAGAAGGUGGCAGCUGGAUGGCACCGAUCAUCGGGCCCUGCGUCUCGCGGAUCAAAUGCUGGCUUUCUGCUCUGCCACGCCCCCUCCAGCACCCCCGCUCCCUAUUAUGACAUCUGGCCCUGCUAUUCAUCCGUCCAUUCUCUGGUUCCUAUGUUCUAGUUUGAAACCGCCAUGCUGCCCAAAGCUUUUCUAGUUGAAUUUAGGAUUUUGAGGAUCAGUGUGAUCUGGAAUAGUCCAGUUGAAAAUACUCUUGCUGGGUCAAUAUUUUAUUGAGACCAAUAUAUUAUAAUUCUACUAACAAACCUAAAAUGCCUCUGAUUCAAUUUACUCUCUCUCUCUAGUUUGAAAGCCUGCUAUAUAAAAAGAAUUUGCUGGCAUAUACUGGAGAUAUAAGGAUGGAUAUAAAUUUGGUAGAAGAGAAGACAGAAAAUAAACAAGGAAGUGGCCAAGUGAAUGUUAAUGAAAUUAACAUCUGAGGGAAUCUCAGUGUCACAGAGGAGGAGUUUUAUGGAAAAGAACCAUUUAGAUGGCAACUCCUUUGGCUGAAGAGUUGACAUUUAAGCAGACAAUAAGGGCUAGAGAAGAAGCCAGACAAAGGUCAGUGGGGCUGGAUACUAGAGGGUGGAAGCGAGGGGUGUGGCGAGGAAGUUGAUGAGUCAGGCAGGGGCUAGACCAACCGGGCACUGGAGGAUCUAACCGAGGGCCAAGCUUCAUUUUUCAAGGUCUUGGGUAAUGCAGACAAAACCGUUAUUAGAUGCCAAACUGACAUGGAUCAUAGUCUCAACUCAGGGAACCCACAGAGAUUGAAACAAAAACAUCCUUGUCACUCCCCCCCAUCCAACUUUGUGACCUUCCUUCUGUGCCCUUUCCCCAAAUUAUUUGUCCCUCCAGUGAGUAAAUCUCAUUAAAGACAUAAUUUGCAUAUGGUGGUUUCUUCUC